RNAcentral lists this ribosomal RNA (292 nucleotides) under uncultured bacterium. RNAcentral's name for it is "partial 16S ribosomal RNA". The record is from RNAcentral.
GGACUACUGGGGUUUCUAAUCCCGUUCGCUCCCCUGGCUUUCGUGUCUCAGCGUCAGCACACUCCCAGCUACCUGUUUUCACCAUUGGCGUUCCAAAUGAUAUCUACGCAUUUCACCGCUCCACCAUUUGUUCCGGUAGCCCCUAAGUGGCUCAAGACGACCAGUAUACCCAGCAGUUCCACGGGUAAGCCGUGGGAUUUCACAAGGUACUUAGAAGUCCGCCUACACACGCUUUAAGCCCAGUGAUUCCGCCUAACGCUCGAGGCCUCUGUAUUACCGCGGCUGCUGGCAC